Molecule: ribosomal RNA, 399 nt
Filed under: uncultured soil bacterium
Lineage: Bacteria
Description: bacterial SSU rRNA
Rfam family: Bacterial small subunit ribosomal RNA
Source: RNAcentral
AAAGCAGCAAUGCGCUGGGUGAGGGGCCUGCGUCCGAUUAGCUGGUUGGUGGGGUAACGGCCUACCAAAGCCAAGAUCGGUAGCCGGCCUGAGAGGGCACACGGCCACACUGGCACUGAAACACGGGCCAGACUCCUACGGGAGGCAGCAGUGGGGAAUCUUGCACAAUGGGGGAAACCCUGAUGCAGCGACGCCGCGUGAGCGAUGAAGCCCUUCGGGGUGUAAAGCUCUUUCGGCAGGGAAGAUGAUGACGGUACCUGCANAAGCAGCUGCGGCUAACUACGUGCCAGCAGCCGCGGUAAUACGUAGGCAGCGAGCGUUGUUCGGAGUUAAUGGGCGUAAAGGGUGUGUAGGCGGUUGUCUAACUUUGGUGUGAAAUUCCCGGCUCCACCGGGAGGG